GAUGAACGCUGGCGGCGUGCCUAAUACAUGCAAGUCGAGCGAACAGACGAGGAGUUUGCUCCUCUGACGUUAGCGGCGGACGGGUGAGUAACACGUGGAUAACCUACCUAUAAGACUGGGAUAACUUCGGGAAACCGGAGCUAAUACCGGAUAAUAUAUUGAACCGCAUGGUUCAAUAGUGAAAGACGGUUUUGCUGUCACUUAUAGAUGGAUCCGCGCCGCAUUAGCUAGUUGGUAAGGUAACGGCUUACCAAGGCAACGAUGCGUAGCCGACCUGAGAGGGUGAUCGGCCACACUGGAACUGAGACACGGUCCAGACUCCUACGGGAGGCAGCAGUAGGGAAUCUUCCGCAAUGGGCGAAAGCGUGACGGAGCAACGCCGCGUGAGUGAUGAAGGUCUUCGGAUCGUAAAACUCUGUUAUUAGGGAAGAACAAAUGUGUAAGUAACUAUGCACGUCUUGACGGUACCUAAUCAGAAAGCCACGGCUAACUACGUG
Molecule: ribosomal RNA, 497 nt
Filed under: uncultured bacterium
Lineage: Bacteria
Description: partial 16S ribosomal RNA
Rfam family: Bacterial small subunit ribosomal RNA
Source: RNAcentral